Long non-coding RNA from Parus major (Great Tit), 1630 nucleotides. Lineage: Eukaryota; Metazoa; Chordata; Aves; Passeriformes; Paridae. The record is from Ensembl.
CUUGUUCUUCUUCAAAAAUCUUGAGGGAAAGGAAGGGAGGGGAUGAGCCUGUGUGCCCUGUCAUUUCUGUUCACAUGGACACAGACUGGCUGAGGGCUUGUGUUUGCUCCUCAUCAAUGCAACAUUGGAAACAAACCUGCCAGCUGAAGCACUGUGUCCUUCAUGCAGGCCAAAACCAGUAGCAGCCCUGCAAGCUCUGGUUUAUAACUGACUUCACUUCUCUCCAUGAGCUCACACAAACAGCCACAAGCCAUCCCGGAAAGUCACAGCCCUGCCUUCCAUGGAGGGGAAACAGGAAUGAGGGAGAUGCUUUCAGGAGCUGGUGGUGGCAGAGGCAGCCUGCAGAGGCAAUCCCUGGCUGCAGGAGUAUUAGUGCACCUUCUAAUCCUCAGUUCUGAAACAUCUGUGGAGGAGCUGAUAACUUGUACAAAGUGUGCAUGGGCUGAGGCACGGACAAUUUGUGUUCUUCCUUCAAGCAUCCCAAGGGCCCCUGGAGCCUCCUGGCCACCAAGACAGGGAGAACAACAGAAAAGGCCACCUGCAGUGGAAAGCACACCCCAGGAGAGAUGGGGCUUGGAUGUCCCAGGUCACUGGAGGCCCCUGGAACAUCCCCCACUCUCUUUGGGCUGAAGGGUCACGGAGCCACACCGCAUCAGCUUGCACCCGUCACUUCCUCUCCUUUUAUUGUGGUUUCUUCCUCAGAAAAGAGAGGCUAUGGCUGUGCCCUGUCUAAAAAAAUGCUUUGAGACCUUUGAAUGCAGAAGUGCAAAGGGGAACAGGCAGCUGCUUGCUGCUGUGGCUGCCACUGCUGCUGUCCUCAGGAAGGCAGGCAGGGCCACCAGGCUGAGCCUUGGCUGGUUUGUUAGCACCUGAAUGUGCAAAAAAUAAUUAAAUAUAUGUAAAGCAGAGGACAAGCACCAAAUUCCUUUAGUUUAUUCCUACAUAAAAAAAGUUAAUGCUUUCAGGUUUCAGUCAUGGGGAAAAAUCCAGGAGUAGCCUGUUUUUCCUUCCCAGCUUUACCUGGUUGCCCAUCCUUGUCAUUGUCCCCUGACAUUUGCCAGAUCUGCUUCAUAUCAAUGCCAACCACACAAACAAUGCUCUGCUCUCUCUCUGUUCAGCCAGUCUCCCUUACCUGGCACUCAAAAGUACAAGUACUCAGCUGGCUAUGUGACUACAGACAGAGCCACAGCUUGCACAAUUAAAAGACCCAUCAGUCAGAGAAUUAAAACCCAGGGCAGAAGGACCAUGACAUUGCAGAAGGACCAUGACAUUGCAGAAGACACUCCUGGAAACAAGUGACCCAGUGGUUAUCUGCCAUGCCAUGCCUGCCCACUUCCAGACUGCUCUGAAUAUCUCACGCCAGAGCUCUCAGAACCUCUGUGGCUAUGCAGGGAAUGUGGAUUUCCCUCUUGAGCCCAGAGCCACAGCCCUUUGGUGCCCGCAGCAGGAGUGUGAGUGUGGCCCUCUCUCCUCACAGGUGGAGCUAAUGUGUUAAAUGACCUUCUACCAUCUCAUGUUGUUUGCAGACAGGUCUGUCAGGCCUGGCUGUCACUUGUCCUGCCAAGUCCCUGAGGCAGAUCAGUGUUGGCAGAGAGAUGGAAAAUUGCUGCCUCCCUUCUUAACUUUUAUU